This 457-nucleotide ribosomal RNA is filed under the name uncultured Comamonadaceae bacterium. Its description in RNAcentral is "bacterial SSU rRNA". It matches the Rfam family "Bacterial small subunit ribosomal RNA", at positions 919 to 1382 of the family's 1533-position model. The record is from RNAcentral. Lineage: Bacteria; Pseudomonadati; Pseudomonadota; Betaproteobacteria; Burkholderiales; Comamonadaceae.
ACCCGCACAAGCGGUGAUGAUGUGGUUUAAUUCGAUGCAACGCGAAAACCUUACCCACCUUUGACAUGUACGGAAUCCUUUAGAGAUAGAGGAGUGCUCGAAAGAGAGCCGUAACACAGGUGCUGCAUGGCUGUCGUCAGCUCGUGUCGUGAGAUGUUGGGUUAAGUCCCGCAACGAGCGCAACCCUUGUCAUUAGUUGCUACGAAAGGGCACUCUAAUGAGACUGCCGGUGACAAACCGGAGGAAGGUGGGGAUGACGUCAAGUCCUCAUGGCCCUUAUAGGUGGGGCUACACACGUCAUACAAUGGCUGGUACAAAGGGUUGCCAACCCGCGAGGGGGAGCCAAUCCCAUAAAGCCAGUCGUAGUCCGGAUCGUAGUCUGCAAUUCGCCUGCAUGAAGUCGGAAUCGCUAGUAAUCGCAGGUCAGCAUACUGCGGUGAAUACGUUCCCGGGCCUU